RNAcentral lists this long non-coding RNA (2416 nucleotides) under Helianthus annuus (common sunflower). RNAcentral's name for it is "sRNA HanXRQr2_Chr17g0822281". The record is from RNAcentral. Lineage: Eukaryota; Viridiplantae; Streptophyta; Magnoliopsida; Asterales; Asteraceae.
UACCAAAUUAAGUAAAAAAUAAAUGAGCAGAGCUCAAGCUUAAAAAAUUUACUCACGGGCUAGAGCUCGAGCUUAGGCUCGGCUUGCUUACACACCUACUUUCAACAUAAAAAUGACGUAUUUUAUUUUUUGAUUUACCUUAUGUGGAGGCUGCUGACAGUAACAGUGAUAUGCGCCAUCACAUCUCUUACAAAACAUAAGCUUGUUCGGAUCACCAGUUCUUCGGCAUACCUAAGUUCACAAAACAAGUAAGCAUAUCAACAGGUUACAGACCAAUGAAAAUAGAUUGCAACGGCAAAUUAAAUAUAAUUGAUAAAAAGACGAAACAUUAAAUCUAGUGUAUAAUGGCAUCAUAGGUAGUUAGGUACCUCACAAGAACGACAUGAAGGGCAGGUCCAGGAACUCAAGUGAAACAGAUCUGAAAAGUAAAACGCUUCAGUUGAAAAAGUACAAGUAUCAAGCAAUAUGAAAAUACUUUAGUCAACAAAAAGUCAAACCUCGAUUUUGAGCCCAAGAUUUCACACAGCUUUUGUGAUAUUUCUUGUUACAGUUUUUGCAUGAUAUCAUCUUUCUGGCUCUCUCACUUUCUUCAUUUUCACCAGAGAAGCAAAGGCGACACAUCACUUUGGCAUUUGAGAGACUUUGUUCAUCUCCGUCAUCUUUCGUCAAAUCCUGCAUAACAAAAAUUACCAUAAAGAUUCACAAAGCUUUGACCUUUUUUGGUCAACACGAUGCAUAAAGAAGAUUCUUGUAGUGAAAACUAAAAGAAAAAGAAAAGUACAGUUUGAAACUCAUGAAAGAUUGUAAUGGAAACAAAUGGAUAAGAUUAUAAUUAUGUGCUGCAUGACAUGAAUACGUGAAAGAAUUAAUGACAAGUUGAUACUUUCAAAUGAAAAUUUUAAACCUUUUCUGCUCUGACGCUUACUCGUAAAGGUAUCUCGAAGAAAAUUUCCAUAAGUUAAGGGUUUUAUUACACUCGGUUACCUAAUUACUAUACGCAAAAGGUUAGAAUAUAUGCAAAAGGUGAACAAUAAUUAAAUGAAACGAAAGAGAAUAAAAAGUUCUAACAAGCAACUACCUGUAUUCGAGAUGUAAACAAAUUCUCCUAGAUAUGUGUGUGCUUUUUAUAGGUUUCCUAAUGACGUUCGUUCCAGUUAAUUCCCUCUUCAUAAAUUAAGGAAAAAUAUAUCUACCCAAUAACUAAUUUUAGCAAUUAACCCUUGAUAAACCUGCAAGUCGAUGCCGUAUGAGUGGGCUUUACAAGAAAGUUCACCUAACUGUACUGUAAUUACAAGCCAAAGAAAAUAACUGGUUAUUAAUUUGCUCCAUCUUUACAAUAAUGUUCAUAAAAGUGAAACAAUGUCUCUAGAGGUCAUAUUAGGGCUUGAACUAUUUCCUAUUGCAAGCAUUAAUCCCCAAUAUAUACAUCUUCAUAUAUAUCUAUGCAUUCAUACUUUCAUACAUGCCUCUAGCUCUACCAAUCAGGGGUGAUUGCUUACUAUGUAGUAGAACUUCAUGAAUCUUAUUAAGAAAUCUUGUGAGUAAUUUUGUUCCUUUUUCUCCAAGCAACAUUCGGUUUCAAGUUCAAAAAUGUGCAAACUAAUACAUUGUGUAACUGGAUAAUAAUUUGAAACUUCCCGUUUACUAAAAGUUUAUCUCAUUUGUUAUAAAUGUAAAUUUAUGACAUUUCAAGACCAUAUUACAACUUUUGCAAUACAAUUUCAAGACGAUAUUAUAGCUUUCGUAAAUAAAUUACACCUUAUUACUCAGCUCUAAUUACUAAGACGGCUGAAGCCAGGUAGUAAACCCUAAUCAUUACAACAACGUAACACCAUGAAUCUAACAGCUUUUUCAUCAUUGACAUGAUCGAAAGGCAUAUAAUUAGCACAUCACAUAAGGCUGUAGAACACAUGAGAUGCCGGAACUUAAUAGUUAAUACAGCUAGGUAAGGUAAUAAAAAUUAUUACUCACUGAAACUAUUCAUAAAAUAGUAAAAAUUGUGUGGCACAUGUAACCGUUAGAUAGCAUGACGACCAAGUGCAUUGAAUGCCAAAACACAAAAGAUCUAUUAUAUAGUGACAUAACUAAAAGGAAAAAGCUUUAACUGAAAUAUUAUAUUUCCAAAAACCACAAAACGACACGAGUUAAUAAAGAAAAAAUGUCUCCGUCUCAAGCAUACAAUGCGCCACAUACAAAUGAGCAAUCAAGUCACAAGUCAUGAGGUAUUAUCAACAUUAACCUAAAUAAACGUACUUUUAAACCAGGAUUGCCAUAUAUUAGAUGCAAACUCCGUGAAACCCUAAAACGUGCAACAAGGUAUAAAAGUUUGUGCCCCCCGAUACAUUACAUUACGAAAAGAAUUCUGCAGUACUGCAAAUACCAAGAAAAUAUUUGCACUACCAUAUGACAAUUAACA